CAGAACGUGAGAAGUUGUAACAUCUGAUGAGUCAACAACCAUCGUUAACAAGCUAGCUUCGAAAAUUACCAAUGAUUCAUAGUCAGAGUAAACGUGAAAGUCAUGCAACCUACCGUCAACUAUUUUGUUCAAACUCAUUGUAUUCUACUGUGUCAUCGAAAUGAUACAGGAUUAAUCUUAAUUAUCGGCUGUUUCUAUUGGACUUGCUAGAUCACCGACCCCCAGCAUGGAACAAUCUCUCAUUUUAUCUUAUAGAGAGUCUUGGAUAACUGAUUGGUGAUUUCAUGUGUAUAAAAGUUCACUUGUCAUGUUACUGAACUUUAUUAAUUGCAGUCUAAUAUGAAUUUUUGUUUUCUUUACAGGUUUCUUAAUUGGCAUGACUGACUUUAUGAGAAGUUAUGUCCUUCCAAGAAAAAGGACUUACAGUCAACAAGAUUCUUUGUUUGCUAACACGUUGGCUGCUACCCUUGAAUCUCCCUAUAUUUGUCAACGACAAAAAAAGAGGUUAAAUAUUGUGAUCAUGCCUAUCAUCAUUAUGUUGCCUAGAAGACCAAAUGUGGGGCAUCUGGUUAUCCCUCCAAAAUAAGGUAAUGACCACACGUUCAACGCGGAUCAUUCGCUUUGUCAUCGAACUUGACUCAUUCCAUCUUCUGGAUUGCUUAGGAAAGCUGAUUGGUGUUACCUGUCCAUUUAGGUAAUGACCGAGAAGAUGCGGCCUACAUGAACAUCAUAGGCGGCCAGCAUCAUUCGACUACCUAACUGGCUUCUACUACCCUGCUCUCAACACAGCACAGAGUUUUACCCUAAGAUUUUUGGCUGUUCGCGAUGUGUGAUGGCGUUUCCUUGGACGAGAUGAUGAUUUUGGCGAGAAAAAUAUUGCGUUCUAACCUUCAGGUUCCUAAAUAUGAAAAGUAAUGUUCUUUCAAGAAAGUCAACGAGGUCCCUUACUCCCUUGUUUGCUAACCCAAUGGCUGCUACCCUUGAAUCUCCCUAUUUAGCUCCUUACACAGUCCCUCUUGAUUUGAGGGUAAUCCUUCGCUACUGAU
Molecule: long non-coding RNA, 1046 nt
Organism: Daphnia pulex (common water flea)
Lineage: Eukaryota; Metazoa; Arthropoda; Branchiopoda; Diplostraca; Daphniidae
Exons: 7
Source: RefSeq, a predicted model, not a curated record